Molecule: long non-coding RNA, 410 nt
Organism: Clupea harengus (Atlantic herring)
Lineage: Eukaryota; Metazoa; Chordata; Actinopteri; Clupeiformes; Clupeidae
Source: Ensembl
UAGCAGUGUAGUAUCAGUGGAUGUUGAGUGAGUGAGAGUACUAUUGCGGGUCGGGGAGGGUUAGAGAACCACAGGCACAAGGUCGUAGCAUCUUGUCCAAUCUGAGGGGUGUAGUUUAAAUAAAUGUACGGUAUAGGUUUGUAUUGAUUGAUUUUUUUUUUUUUGCGUAGUUUCAGCUGGCAUUUCGUACCUGCGUAUUUUGAUUAAGAAUUGCGUGGUUGGUACACAAAAUGCGUGCAGGUUGGCAGGUCUGCAAUCACUGUAAUAACGUGUUCGAGCAGGGCAAAGUGUUUGCGUGUGUGUGUGGGGACCUUCUCUCCUUUCAUCAUCAGAGUAAACAGCGAUGGGUUGGACCAGUCUUCAAGGCGGAAGGGCCUGUCCCUUGGACUGGCCACAUCACCUGAGAAUCU